RNAcentral lists this ribosomal RNA (305 nucleotides) under uncultured bacterium. RNAcentral's name for it is "bacterial SSU rRNA". It matches the Rfam family "Bacterial small subunit ribosomal RNA", at positions 335 to 643 of the family's 1533-position model. The record is from RNAcentral.
GUGCCUACGGGAGGCAGCAGUGGGGAAUAUUGCACAAUGGGGGAAACCCUGAUGCAGCGACGCCGCGUGAGUGAAGAAGUAUCUCGGUACGUAAAGCUCUAUCAGCAGGGAAGAAAAAAAGUCUUUGGCUUUGGACGGUACCUGACUAAGAAGCCCCGGCUAACUACGUGCCAGCAGCCGCGGUAAUACGUAAGGGGCAAGCGUUAUCCGGAUUUACUGGGUGUAAAGGGAGCGUAGACGGCAGCGCAAGUCUGGAGUGAAAUGCCGGGGCUCAACCCCGUACUGCCGUUGAAACUGCAUCCCUU